RNAcentral lists this non-coding RNA (24 nucleotides) under Arabidopsis thaliana (thale cress). The record is from RNAcentral. Lineage: Eukaryota; Viridiplantae; Streptophyta; Magnoliopsida; Brassicales; Brassicaceae.
AUAUUGUUUAAAGUUGAUCUCGCC